UACGGAGGAUCCGAGCGUUAUCCGGAUUUAUUGGGUUUAAAGGGUGCGCAGGCGGGAGAUUAAGUCGGCGGUGAAAUUUUGCAGCUCAACUGUAAAAGUGCCUUCGAAACUGGUUUCCUUGAGUGUAGAUGAAGUAGGCGGAAUUUGUGGUGUAGCGGUGAAAUGCAUAGAUAUCACGAGGAACUCCGAUCGCGUAGGCAGCUUACUAAACCAUAACUGACGCUCAUGCACGAAGGCGUGGGGAUCAAACAGGAUUAGAUACCCUGGUAGU
RNAcentral lists this ribosomal RNA (271 nucleotides) under uncultured prokaryote. RNAcentral describes it as "partial 16S ribosomal RNA". It matches the Rfam family "Bacterial small subunit ribosomal RNA", at positions 524 to 794 of the family's 1533-position model. The record is from RNAcentral.